This 67-nucleotide transfer RNA is filed under the name Eozapus setchuanus (Chinese jumping mouse). RNAcentral describes it as "tRNA-Val". It matches the Rfam family "tRNA". Rfam says of the family: Transfer RNA (tRNA) molecules are approximately 80 nucleotides in length. Their secondary structure includes four short double-helical elements and three loops (D, anti-codon, and T loops). The record is from RNAcentral. Lineage: Eukaryota; Metazoa; Chordata; Mammalia; Rodentia; Dipodidae.
CAAAAUGUAGCUUAAAUUAAAGCAUCCGACUUACACUCGGAAGAUUUCCACUACAAGAACAUUUUGA